UCACCAUUUUUACACCCGUUAACCGAGACCUAUGGGUGGAUAAAUUACGUCUCUCAUAUCCUGUAGUGAAGGGAUUACAGGAAAUAUAGUAUCGC
This 95-nucleotide non-coding RNA is filed under the name unclassified sequences. The record is from Rfam.